This 1924-nucleotide long non-coding RNA is filed under the name Anas platyrhynchos platyrhynchos (common mallard). RNAcentral describes it as "lncRNA (ENSAPLG00000024115.1)". The record is from RNAcentral. Lineage: Eukaryota; Metazoa; Chordata; Aves; Anseriformes; Anatidae.
AGCUCUCUCAUUUUGUGGUUAAAAAUAUCAAUCCAAGCCGAUGCUUUCCUAACAGCUAGUAGUGGGGUGGUUGUUAUUACAGGGUUGUUUAUUUCCUGCUAAUCAGCUGCUUGCCUCCAGUAGAAAUGCUUGUGAAGCAGAAUUAUUCGUCUUUGUGAAAAGGUUCUGUAAACUGUUUAUUGAAGUGAAUCCUUACAGCAAUGAAAACAAUUCUCUGGUUUUACGCUGGUCCCUGUGGCAGCACAUAGCUUUCCCCCCGUCAUACUUGUGUCUACGCAUUUCAUUUCUUCGAGAAGAGCGCAUUCAGGAACUGCUUGACGAAUGUUUGCAAAUGGAGCAUCCCAUGCUGUAAAUAAUCUAAAUGCAGUGGUUGAAGGACUGAGGGAAAUGGAAAUUCUGAAGAACUUAGCUGGGGCAUCCCAUCAAGAUGAGCCACGGGGUUUGAUGAUAUUAUGGCAACUAUUAAUGAACAGGCAAGGCAAAGGGUUGUCAAGAGGAAAUUUGAAGGACACCAAGACACCUUGCAUUUCUAUUCAUCGCUGAUGUCCCCAAGGAGCUCUCCUAAGGGAAUCUAUGCUGCAUGUCAUGAGAGACUCCAAGUACAGAAUCCAUUUUGGAUCUGCUGGGACAGAAGGAGCAAAGUCCCCAAUUCGCACUGAACCCUGUGGCUCUGAGCAUCAGUGACUGAAUUCCCAGCACUACAAGAACUUGCAAAAGACAGUGACUGUGACAAUAUAAAACAGACAGUUUUUCCCUUACUUUCUGCACUUCCCUGAAUUUGUUGUUACCCUAGUGUUACCUUACUCUCAUCCACUUCCUAACCAAGAGGCUUCCUGAAGUUCUCAAACACAUUCUGAGGCAGAAAUAUAAAACUGAGUGUCAUCAGGACACCCUUUAGGCCAUCUGUCUUUUGGAUUAAAUUGAUCAUUUGUAAAACAGAAGUUAAUCUGCCUUUCUAUGAAGGCUCAGGGGCUGAAGAGCAAUUGUCCUGCCUUACCCCCAGGCUUUCUCUCUUCAAGGGUUUGCAAGUCAGUAGGUACCACAUCACUUUUAGCCCCAAAGUUUCUGUUAGAUCAAGGCAAGGACAUCUAAGGACUAGUAGGAGGUUCCUUAUCUCUAACAAGAGAUGCUGCUCCCUCUCAGUCACACAAAGUAGCUGGAAAAAACACGUAGCUUCACCAGCUGGCCAUGCAGAUGUAGACAUCUGAGACUGGGACUUGUAAGGCAGAGAUCUUAGUUUUGGGCUGCUUUUUUCUUGUUUCUCAUUAAGUCCCAGGAGUGAAACUACAGCCUUAAACUGAUUGAAUUUUUUCCAUCUCACCUUGAGGAGAGUAAAAAUUUCACCUGCAGAGUUUGAGGCUUUUCCUCUCUGCUAACGUGUGCAGAAAGUGUAAGGCUUGACUUCCCAGGGAACCAAAGGGAAGAGAGGCUUUCUACUACUAAAAAAGAGUUUCAUUUUAAAAGCCAAUUUUAAUCUCCUGUUUGAUACCCUGUCCAAGAAAGGGACAAAGCAGAGACUACCAUGUGUUUAAUGUUUCUAGUUUAGAAUAGAAAUAACUUUUGUUAGAAGUCAGUGAAUUUAGAAAAGGCUUUCUGUAAUGACAACAGGGAAUAUAGUUGUUUUCUGUGAUGAACUAGGAGCAGAUCAGACAAAAUCAGGAUGAUUUUGGAUCUUGACCAUAUAGAAAUUUGGUACUGUGGAAGAUAAAGACUGUAAUACUUUUUUUUUCUUUUUUUUUUUUUUUCUUUUUUUUUACUUUUUUUUUCUUUUCUUUAGUCUGUUCUUACAAUAGCUAAUAAUUUAUAUUUCAUUUUAGUUACUAUAUGGGUAUUGUAAAUGACCUUUUAUUUCUCUUCAUUAAGACACUGGUCAUAUUUGACUGUAACUUAUUGAGAUCAAUAAAUGCUUAAUGUGUUAACUUCA